AUUAUCAUGGCUACUAGCCAUCAAACAGCUUCUUUCUUUGCAGUGUCCCUUGAAGCAAAAUACAGUGACACACCGGCAUUCAGGUAAGUUCUCUGAUUGUCUUUCUCGGAUAGGCCUGUGUCUGAUAUUCGUGAAUUAGGCAUCCAAAUCUGCAAUACCAAAAUCAUGUGGUAACAAGCAAUGUUAAUAUUGAUUCAUGUACUUGGUCAAUGUGAGGUUAACAUUCUAUGGUAGUAUUUUUUGUUAUUUUGAAAUGAGUUGUGAGAUUUUCUUUUUGGUGUAUGUAGGUACUUUAUGAUUGCCAAUGCCAUUGUGAGUGUAUAUGGUUUUCUGGUUCUGUUUCUUCCCACAGACAGCAUGCUCUGGCGAUUGGUUGUUGCCUUGGAUUUGGUAAUUAUACACAACCUGAAAUUCUCUUCUCUUUUCUCUUGCAAGGCUUAUUUCCUGUUAUACAAACCCAAUCAUGCAGUUAUGUGUUUAUUUUACUUGAAAUAAACAAUCAUGCAUCUGUUUAUACGCAUAUAUAUAUGUACAUAUGCGUAUUUUAUAUUGCUGCUUUUUACCAAGCUGUAAAACGAACCAGGUCAAAGAGGAGUUUUUGCUUCCAGGCCAUUGUUAGGCCAUUGCUGGAACCCCAUUUGAAAGGGUGCUCCAAUGACACUCAAUGCCACUUGACCUGAGUAGCUCAGAUAAGAAAUAACAUACUUUUUUUUCGGGAUAUAUACCCUAAAAGCACCUGCAUUUUUUUCAAAAUUCAUAUUAACUGCUGCAAUAAUUUUUUGUUCAAAUACAACCUGUAUUUUCAAAUUUGUCUAAACUAAUCUUUAUCGUUAACAAUGUAUCAUUUAACACCAUUUAAUAGAUAUCUACAUGGCAAAUGAGUGGCUACAUAGAUAUUUUCAGAAGUCAUAUGGAAAAUGAAAUUUCGUGCGUGAAAGAUAGAAGAAAGGGAAGAAAAUAAAAACUGCAAGCAUAGCAGCCAUGCUGACAACGUUUUCAAAAGUGGUCAGUGUGCCAGUCACAUCGCAAACAUGCUAGUUGUUUUUUAAAAUAUAAUGUCUACUUGGCAACGUCGUCUGCCACAUGAUAAUCUAUUAAACAAUGUUAAAUACACUGUUAACAAUGGGGGCUAAUUUAGACAUGAAAAUAUGAGUUUGUAUUUGAAACAAAAAUUAUUAUAGGAGCCAAUAUAGAUUUGUUGAAAAGUACAGGUACUUUGGGUAUCUAUCCCCUUCUUUUUCCCCUCAGCUCUAUAUAAAAAAACCCAUAACUCAGACAGAAAAGACAUUAAAAUGGAGAAUAGUAUUAACCACUCAACCAAAAAAAAGAAAGAGAGAAGUACUAACCUUACAACCAAGAAAAAGUCAAGAAAAUAUUGUGCAUAAAAAUAGCUAUAUAUAUAUACAAAGAAAAUCAUGAAACUCUUAAAGUACAUCACCAUAUUUUCUGGUAAUCUUGGACGUGACUGCGAAUUACUGUCAGUGUUAUUGACUUAUAGUAAUUAUUAGUUAAUUGAUAUCAUCUGGUGUGCAGGUUUUCACAAUGUUACUGACUUCAAGCAUCUCAGCAGCAUUAGCAAUAGCUCAAGUGGGAAAGAAAGGGAAUGCUAAUGCAGGAUGGUUGCCCAUCUGUGGGCAAGUGCCAAAAUACUGUCACCAAGUAACAGGAGCUUUAGCUGCUGGCUUCAUUGGAGUUGUCAUACACAUGCUUCUCCUCCUUUAUUCAAUCCAUACUGUUCUAAAUCCACUUCUUGUUCAAAAGACCUAAAUCUCUCUCUCUCUCUCUCUCUCUGACUUAAUUAAAAGGGCCCUUUUUAUUAUAUAGCUCUCAAUGAUGGAAUUCAGUUUUAUCUCAUCUUCUUUGUUUUGUAAUUUUCUCGUGUUUUGCUUCUUCUUCUUGAUUUCCUCAAGCCUUUGAUGGUUUAAUCUCUGUGUCACUUUUUUGGCUUCUGUUUGGUGAUUUUCAUAUGGAGAAAGUAUAGUCACAUCCUUAAAUUUUGAGCCUAAUUACAGUUCAAUCAAUGAAUUCUAAUCCAAAGGCAACAUCAGCUGUAUAUUUUUCAAAAAAUAAUCUAUAAGAUACAGAUUCACCCAUGUGAUUUCACUCUAUUGCAAUUUAAAUUCAACUUCUGUUUUUUCUUACACACUGUCAUUAGAAAUUUAUAAGCUAAAGUAUUACAAUGCAUAACUAAACUAUAAUGAUGCCCAAUCUAUUGUCGACUUUCAAGACAUUGCACUUUGCAAUAACAGCAUAGUGAGUUAGGGUUUUUCACCAAAGUCAAACCCAUCACAAUCCCUUAGAAAACCUCACCAUCUACUGUCGGUUAACAGGCUGAUGAGCUGUGAACCGAAAGGCAACAAGUUAUUACAGAGGAUCACAUAAUUGUUUGCAGUUACAUAAAAGGGUCUCAUGAUAUAAUUAUGGACAAGUUUUUUAACAUAAAACAGUUAUUAUUAACAGCUAACUGAGUUACAUCAAAACUCUAUCUCAACAAGGGUAGUGGUGCCAAUUUCCACAUGUUCAUCAUGAUAACCAUAUCCAUUUCAACAGAAUGGACUAUCAAAAUCUGUUAAAGGUUCCCAGUUCCUCUAAUCUCUCAUUUUUCUAAACCAAUCACAACAGAGAAUGUAGCUGGGAUGAGGCUCUUUUAUUACAACUCAAUUACUCGAGUUUGAAUCUAUCCCUACCUUGUGGGGGAAAAAAAAAAAGGAGAGAGACUCUUCCACCACAUGGUAAAGGAAUAAUUGCAAGUCUGGGAGAGAAUUUAUCAGAUAGACAAAAGAAUUUUGUGAAGGGUGCAAGAAGCAGUACUAUAUGAAUAUCAUACAAUUUUAAUAUCAAAAUCACUCAGCAAACUGCAAUUCGGCUUAUCAGGGGGAGUGUAUAUAUAAAGUUUCUUGAUCAAAACAUUAGUACUCAAAGCACACAGUUCUAAUUUACGGGCACAAAAUUGGGCUAAACAAAAAAUAAUUCAAUAUUAAACAGCACAGAAAUCUUGCGGAAAAUCAGGCUGCUAACUAAAAUUCAAAAUAAUUACAAAAAACUUUGUUCUUAACUGGACUAAUAUUAUGUUACCUUGGCUUGCUCCACCAUAAUUUUCCUUGAAGAAACAAAGCUUUCUACACGUGUAGUUGCUCCAAGAAAAUUUUGCAUAAUAACGGCUUCUUCUUCCUCCUCCUCCUCCUCCUCCGGAUCUUCUCCAACAUACCAGAUCUAUAGAAAAAGUAAGUUCAGGUGGCAGAUGAAUCCAUUCAAAUUCCUAGCUAGUAAGCUUGAAACCCUAGAUGUUCUUAGCAUUUUGCAAGCUUUUUCACCCUCGCCGAUGGUCACAGCAAUUCUUGAGACCUUCUCGUCGCUGUCGCUGUCGCUGUCGGCCAUUGUUUUCCUGCCUGUGCGUGCUCCACCGUACGGUAACCCAUCACGGUAAAUUUAUAGGUUUCUUUCUUGUCGUUUCACUCCAAUUUUGUAAAUAAAAUUACUUCUACAAGACUUUAUAUAUGUUAAUU
This 3506-nucleotide long non-coding RNA is filed under the name Carica papaya (papaya). RNAcentral's name for it is "long non-coding RNA (CPAP_LNC009922)". The record is from RNAcentral. Lineage: Eukaryota; Viridiplantae; Streptophyta; Magnoliopsida; Brassicales; Caricaceae.